CAGGUUAGUGGCCAUCACCACCUCCUGUGACAGCACAUUCCAAACACAAGCAUAUUCCAAACAUAUUCCAUACAAGGCUUACCACUGAAAGAAAUAUUUACAGAUGAAAAGAAUGGUUGUGACUCCAGUGCAACUCAAGCUUAUGUUGACUGAGUCACAGCUUCCUUGAGAACAAUGGUUUAAUGGAUGUUGGGGUGGAAAUACAUCUUAACCUGGCAGACAUAAGGUCCCAAUCUCAGCCAGCAGAGGCAGUGACUGUGUAGCAAGGAGGCAAUUUCAGGGAAGCAUCAACAGAUGCUACCUCAAGCAAUUCCUUUUCCCAGCUAGGAUUAUUUCUAAUCAUUCCUGGGCCAUUUCUGCACGGCACAAUUAUACCGGGUUAAAAGCGGUACCUUACAUCCCGGGUUUAUUUUAUCCCAGUUUCUCCCUUCGCAUGGCUUCCUGUUACAGUGAAGGGAUCAAGUGAAGACCUGGACGGAAUACUCCGGUUUGUUUCUCACGAGUCCGGGCCUUUUGCAUUUACGUCGCAAGCAUAUCUGUGCAUGCACGAACAUCCCCGGUGUCCCGCGUUUUGAAUGGCUGUUGUUUUUAGGCGGCAGCUCGAAUAAAUGUCUUCGCCCUGCCUUUACACCUGCUGUACAAAUCACAUUCCCACUCACAUUCUCAUGUUUUUGUGGAAAAUGAGAGACACGCCCCCCCCGGUGAUAUGCCCACUAACAUUCGACCCAAAGGGGACAUCUCCCUAGCUAUGCACUCCGAGCAACCAGUACACGUACAAAAAAAGAAAACGGGGACAUUUUGGGACUCCGCUCCUGAUUAAACCAGCCGAAAUAGCACCAGGUUGAUACCAUGAGCAGAAAAACGUGCUUGGGGCAACGUUUUGGAAAGGGCGAGCUGCAACAGUUGGCGGUUCAGCAGGAUUGAAAACUGAAAUGACAUCAGGUGCGGAAAUCAGGGGGGCAGGCAGCUGGGUGGGAAUAUGAAACUGGUUCUGCUUCUGUGGUGUUUGCAUGGUAGUGGGCUCACUGCGGGAUUUUUUUGAAAAGAAUUGCCAAACUGGCAAUGUUUAAAAAUCCUGGCAUGAGGGAAAUAUCGCGGGGUGCUUUGGGACCGGGGACCGGGUGAACUUCUUGGUCAGGCCGGGGUAUUUUCCUUGCUCAUCCUGGGAUAUUUGGAUUGUGCGGAAACGACCCUCGUAGCUCAGCUGGAUUAAAAUGUUAGUGAGUAGGAUAUGAAGAGGAGUGUCGCCCAACAAAGCAGCCUUUCUCUAGCCACUGAACUUUUUCUGCAAUUCUCCCACCCUUGCUUUGCUAAAGAAAAUGAACUCUAGAACCCCCAUACUUGUAUUGGAAGCACUGCAUGGUUCCUCCCUUGGUAAUGGAAAGUACUGUCAAGUGAAAGCCAAUUUAUGGUGAAGCUGUAGUGUUCUCGAAGCAAGAGAUGCUCAGAGGUGGUUUACCAUUGUCUGCCUCUGCUCUGUGUAGCAACCCUUUUGUUCCUUGGUGGUUUCCCAUCAAAGUACUAGUCAAGGCCAACCCUGCUUAGCUUCCAAGAUCUGAUGAAACUAGCCUAGGUGAGGGCAAGAGAUCUUUAGAGGUGGUUUGCCAUUGCCUGCCUCUGUUUAGCAACUCUGGGUAUCUUUGAUGGUCUCCCAUUCAAGAAUUAACCAGGGCCAACCUUUCUUAGCUUCUACAGUAUGAUGAGAUUGGGCUUGCUUUGACCAUCAGGGCAAUGACCUUUAAGGUCAUUGUCUUGCAUUAGGCAGCUGGACGUGAAGGCAUUCCUGCCGUCUUGAGUAACUCCUGUUGGGUAAAUCAGGAACAUUUUACACAGUAUAGUAAAAUCUUACCCCGAGAGUAUGACACAUUUUUAUGUCAAUCACAAGUUUCCUCUGAAAGUCAUCCCCUGCCAGAAGGCUAAUUUUAAUGGUCCCUGUCCCAGGUGUGCUUGAGAAAAUUCCUUUCAGUGGAGUUUUAUUCAGAAGCAGAUGUGUUUAGAAUCAGGAUCAUAAUCUUAAUCAUAAAUAUUCACUCUCUGGGAAACAGCCUUAUGUUAUUUUUUAUAAUGAAAUGCAAUUGCCUAUCUUGAAAGGGAGCGAGGGAAUCUUUAUCAUUUGUUCUAAACAAAGAAAUAUGUUGUCUUCUGCGAAGUUGUAUUUAUGGCCUCUGUAAUUUAUUUUGUAAAGCGGGAUUACUAGUGUUGAAUGUUUGUGUAUUUGGGAAUAGUACUGAGACGUACAAUAAAAUACUUUCCCUUAAAAAAAA
Molecule: long non-coding RNA, 2264 nt
Organism: Sphaerodactylus townsendi
Lineage: Eukaryota; Metazoa; Chordata; Lepidosauria; Squamata; Sphaerodactylidae
Exons: 2
Source: RefSeq, a predicted model, not a curated record